GUAGGGAAUAUUGGGCAAUGGAGGCAACUCUGACCCAGCCAUGCCGCGUGCAGGAUGACUGCCCUCUGGGUUGUAAACUGCUUUUAUACGGGAAGAAAAAAUACUACGUGUAGUAUACUGACGGUACCGUAAGAAUAAGGAUCGGCUAACUCCGUGCCAGCAGCCGCGGUAAUACGGAGGAUCCAAGCGUUGUCCGGAUUUAUUGGGUUUAAAGGGUGCGUAGGCGGAUCUUUAAGUCAGUGGUGAAAGCCUGCAGCUUAACUGUAGAAUUGCCAUUGAAACUGAAGAUCUUGAAUGUGGUUAAAGUAGGCGGAAUGUAUCAUGUAGCGGUGAAAUGCUUAGAUAUGAUACAGAACACCGAUAGCGAAGGCAGCUUGCUGAACCAUUAUUGACGCUGAGGCACGAAAGCGUGGGGAGCGAACAGGAUUAGAAACCCCGGUAGUCC
This 445-nucleotide ribosomal RNA is filed under the name uncultured bacterium. RNAcentral's name for it is "partial 16S ribosomal RNA". It matches the Rfam family "Bacterial small subunit ribosomal RNA", at positions 354 to 796 of the family's 1533-position model. The record is from RNAcentral.